This 423-nucleotide ribosomal RNA is filed under the name uncultured eukaryote. RNAcentral's name for it is "bacterial SSU rRNA". It matches the Rfam family "Eukaryotic small subunit ribosomal RNA", at positions 143 to 545 of the family's 1831-position model. The record is from RNAcentral.
AUAACCGUAGUAAUUCGUAGGGCUAAUACGUGCGAGCGCCGAAGCCGCGAGGCGACGGGCGUUCUCGCCGGAUGUAGGAACCGACCCGGGGACCGCCGGGGCAACCCGGCGCCCCCGAGACGGGGCGAACCACGGUGAAAUGACGGAUCGUCGGCCCCGCGCCGGCGACUCGCCGAAUGAGUUUCUGACCUAUCAACUCGAGACGGCGGGGUAGAGGCCCGCCGCGGUAACGACGGGUAACGGGGAAUCAGGGUUCGAUUCCGGAGAGGGAGCCCGAGAAACGGCUACCACUUCCAAGGAAGGCAGCAGGCGCGCAACUUACCCUAAUCUCGAUUCGAGGAGGUAGUGACAAGAAAUACCGAUGCGGGACCCUACGGGUGCCGCGUUCGGAAUGAGUACGAUUCGAACCACCUAACGAGGAAC